Molecule: non-coding RNA, 509 nt
Organism: Oryctolagus cuniculus (rabbit)
Lineage: Eukaryota; Metazoa; Chordata; Mammalia; Lagomorpha; Leporidae
Source: RefSeq, a predicted model, not a curated record
CACCCCCAGGUCUGAGGGACAGGCACAGAGACACAGGUCACCCCCAGGUCUGAGGGACAGGCACAGAGGCACAGGUCACCCCAGGUCUGGGGGGCAGGCACAGAGACACAGGUCACCCCCAGGUCUGAGACACAGGCACAGACACAGGUCACCCCCAGGUCUGAGGGGCAGGCACAGAGACACAGGUCACCCCCAGGUCUGAGGGGCAGGCAGAGACACAGGUCACCCCAGGUCUGGGGGCAGGCAGAGACACAGGUCACCCCAGGUCUGGGGACAGGCAGAGACACAGGUGCUGGGACCCAGGAGCGGCGGCUUCCCCAGCAGGCCCAGCUCUGCCCGGGAGACCAGACGGGGACAGGGACCGGGCUCUGCUGGCUCUCGCACUCGCCUUGCCCCAGCCCACACCAGGACACAGCAAAGGCUCACUGGCCAGUGCCCAGCUGGACGUGGCUGCCCCCUGCCAGGCCCGGGGCCCCAUCUCACACAGAGGCCCCGCAGCACCCCUCCCA